AAGCUGGAUGCUUUGAUCUUUCAAGCUUAAUUAACAAACAGAAAGUGGAUUCUGAAAAUAGCUCCGAAACUAACACCAGCAUUAUUAAGACUAUUAAAGCCGUUAGUUUCGAUGCAUUCGAUAUAAUUAGAAAAGGAUAUUCGAUAACGCCCUUUACAGCAUCAAACAUUCAAUUUUUAUUUUCUAAAAAAGAUGUUUCUCUCCCCUUUUCUUUAACAUAUGGGAGCACGUUUAAUACCAGUAGUAAUAUUGAAGUCGUCACGUAUUCAAUGGGGGUUCCGAAGAUCUUCGAAGUUUUAAAUUUUCCCGUUGGGAAGCACAUCGCUGUCAAUAAUUAUUUCCUUGCUUACUCAAUUCUGGUUAAAAGUGAUUUUUGGAUUCGCGUGACGAGCUUAACUUCUAAAGCCACUCAACUUUUGAAAUUUUUUACUUAUCCGAUUGCGGAUAUGGCAUUCAUUGGUGAGCAGAACGAUCAGCUUGCCGUUGUAGAUCUUUCAGGAACCUUCAAGAUAUUUCGGUUUUCUGAGGAAACUGACGAUUCUAACUUUUCUAUCAAAUAUGAUCUUCUUUUCCUUGUCACUCGUGAAUUCAACGCUCAACUUAUUUUUUCUGAAAGGCGUAACCGCGUUAUCCCAUGCAACUCUGGAAUUGUUGGGGUGGUCUGCCAGAAUUCACUGGACUUACUGGACCUGAACAUUCUAUUAUCCAAUAAAAAUGGAGCUGUUAUUCUUAGAAGAGAAGCUUUAGAUGAGGGCCUUUUUAC
This is a long non-coding RNA of Zophobas morio, 763 nucleotides long. RefSeq lists it as uncharacterized. NCBI's taxonomy places the organism in Eukaryota, Metazoa, Arthropoda, Insecta, Coleoptera, Tenebrionidae. The record is from RefSeq and is a predicted model, not a curated record. The transcript is spliced from 6 exons.